UCUUUCCUCAGGACGAACUCCUGUUCUUUCACGAGUUCUUCUCGCAAAUAUUCCCCAUCUUCUCCUCUGCCUUUUUUGGCAAAAUUUUGUCUUCCUGUGCUGUUUCGCUGCGCCCCAAUAUCGCGGAGUUCAACCGCUGUUGACCUCCGCCAUCGCCGUUUCCGUCAUCGAUAGAGGGGGAGCAACCAACCAAGCACUUCGACCUCGCUCCGCCGAACACCGCCUCCACCCAUCCCCUCACCUGCGCCGGGGAGCAACCGGAGGAGCGCCGCCGCCCACGCCCGAGACCGCCGCCGUUUUCCUCUGUACACGAUUGUCCGGAGUGCGAGUGGAUCGGAAUUAAUCGUUAGAGUACUUCAACAGCGUUUCAAGGCA
This is a non-coding RNA of Triticum urartu, 375 nucleotides long. Lineage: Eukaryota; Viridiplantae; Streptophyta; Magnoliopsida; Poales; Poaceae. The record is from RefSeq and is a predicted model, not a curated record.